RNAcentral lists this ribosomal RNA (468 nucleotides) under uncultured bacterium. Its description in RNAcentral is "bacterial SSU rRNA". It matches the Rfam family "Bacterial small subunit ribosomal RNA", at positions 335 to 797 of the family's 1533-position model. The record is from RNAcentral.
ACUCCUACGGGAGGCAGCAGUGGGGAAUAUUGCACAAUGGGCGCAAGCCUGAUGCAGCCAUGCCGCGUGUAUGAAGAAGGCCUUCGGGUUGUAAAGUACUUUCAGCAGUGAGGAAGGCAGGUACGUUAAUAGCGUGCUUGUUUGACGUUAGCUGCAGAAGAAGCACCGGCUAACUCCGUGCCAGCAGCCGCGGUAAUACGGAGGGUGCGAGCGUUAAUCGGAAUUACUGGGCGUAAAGCGCAUGCAGGUGGUUCGUUAAGUCAGAUGUGAAAGCCCGGGGCUCAACCUCGGAAUUGCAUUUGAAACUGGCGGACUAGAGUCUUGUAGAGGGGGGUAGAAUUUCAGGUGUAGCGGUGAAAUGCGUAGAGAUCUGAAGGAAUACCAGUGGCGAAGGCGGCCCCCUGGACAAAGACUGACGCUCAGAUGCGAAAGCGUGGGAGCAAACAGGAUUAGAUACCCUGGUAGAUA